AUCGAACGCUGGCGGCAGGCCUAACACAUGCAAGUCGAACGGUAACAGGAAGCAGCUUGCUGCUUUGCUGGCGAGUGGCGGACGGGUGAGUAAUGUCUGGGUAACUGCCUGAUGGAGGGGGAUAACUACUGGAAACGGUAGCUAAUACCGCAUAACGUCGCAAGACCAAAGAGGGGGACCUUCGGGCCUCUUGCCAUCGGAUGUGCCCAGAUGGGAUUAGCUAGCAGGUGGGGUCACGGCUCACCUAGGCGACGAUCCCUAGCUGGCAUGAGAGGAUGGCCAGCCACACUGGAACUGAGACACGGUCCAGACUCCUACAGGAUGCAGCAGUGGGGAAUAUUGCACAAUGGAGGCAAGCCUGAUGCAGCAAUGCCGCGUGUAUGAAGAAGGCCUUAGGGUUGUAAAGUACUUUCAGCGGGAGGGAAGGGAGUAAAGUUAAUACCUUUGCUCAUUGACGUUACCCGCAGAAGAAGCACCGGCUAACUCCGUG
This 490-nucleotide ribosomal RNA is filed under the name uncultured bacterium. RNAcentral describes it as "partial 16S ribosomal RNA". It matches the Rfam family "Bacterial small subunit ribosomal RNA", at positions 30 to 507 of the family's 1533-position model. The record is from RNAcentral.